CAGAAUUCGAGCAUCGCCUUCCAGGACGC
This 29-nucleotide small RNA is filed under the name Bombyx mori (domestic silkworm). RNAcentral's name for it is "ovarian small RNA-13111". The record is from RNAcentral. Lineage: Eukaryota; Metazoa; Arthropoda; Insecta; Lepidoptera; Bombycidae.